This 72-nucleotide transfer RNA is filed under the name Ornithorhynchus anatinus (platypus). It matches the Rfam family "tRNA". Rfam says of the family: Transfer RNA (tRNA) molecules are approximately 80 nucleotides in length. Their secondary structure includes four short double-helical elements and three loops (D, anti-codon, and T loops). Lineage: Eukaryota; Metazoa; Chordata; Mammalia; Monotremata; Ornithorhynchidae. The record is from Rfam by way of RNAcentral.
AGCAGCGUGGCUCAGCUGAAAGAGCACGGGCUUGGGAGUCAGAGGUCAUGGGUUCGAAUCCCAACUCUGCCA